UAACUUCAUUUCAAUUAAACUAACUCAUGACAGUCUCACUCUAAUAACUAACUAACACCUACUGCAUAACUAACUACUUUGAUGCAAAGCAAAUCCCUAAUCUCUAACUUAACACUAGAACUCAAUCAUACUAACUCUAACAGAAUUUUAACAAUGUUAACUUGAAUAACUAAUUUCUUCACAAAUUCAAUUAACUGUUAACUCUGCCCUAAC
Molecule: long non-coding RNA, 213 nt
Filed under: Lathyrus oleraceus (garden pea)
Lineage: Eukaryota; Viridiplantae; Streptophyta; Magnoliopsida; Fabales; Fabaceae
Description: Pisum sativum (pea) long non-coding RNA (PSAT_LNC000977)
Source: RNAcentral